Non-coding RNA from Peromyscus maniculatus bairdii (prairie deer mouse), 1545 nucleotides. The record is from RefSeq and is a predicted model, not a curated record. NCBI's taxonomy places the organism in Eukaryota, Metazoa, Chordata, Mammalia, Rodentia, Cricetidae.
AGCAAACUGGGAGCCAAACUGGAAGAGCAGCAAGAACUCUGAACAGACUCACUCCAAAUUCAUCCCAACUAGCAAGACUUCAACCAAGAACUCCCCAGUAUCAGAUCCAAUCUUCCAGUCUCAUCCCCAACGCUGUGGCAGAGAACCUUCUGCAAUCUCCCUUUCCUCUCUGACCCUAUCCCCAAUGAAUCACAGGGAUCUUCUCCCCAAACCUUCCUUCCUCCAACUCACCCCGGUAUCCCAGCCUCCAACACCUGCAGGCAUUCCCUGGGAACACAUCAGCUGAGCAGGCCAGGGAAACAGGUAAGUCAACUGAAGACCUUCACCACUCUUUUUUCCCCUCCAAGUCCAGUCCCCAGUCUCAUCUCUAUCUCUGCAAAAGACCAUCAGCUGCAACCUUCCCUGCUCCCCUAUUCCCAUCGCCUGUGGAUUCCAUGGAUGUUCCCCUUCUGGCCUUCCUUCUACCACUUGUUGCUUUGUCCCAGCCCACAACUCCAGCUGGCAUCCCCUGCUAACUAACCCACAGGUCAUGCCUGCCAGGGGACCAGAUAGGCUGCCUGCACAUGUUCUCUUCUCCCUCUGCUACCCCAGAUCCGAUCCCUCAGUCUCAUCCCCAGCUUGCAGCAGAACACCUGUGGAAGCCUUCCCUGCCCCCUGUUCCCAUCUCCUGUGGAUGCCCCCCACUCAUUGCUUUGUCCCAGCCCUCAGGCCCAGCAGGCUCCCCUACUAACCCAUAGGCCACACCUGUUAGAAAAGCAGGUAGGCUGCCUGCAGAUCUUCUACCUCUGUUCCCAUAGAUCCAAUCCCACAGUCCCAUCCAAAGCUCUGAAGCAGAACAACUGUGGCAGCCUUCCCUGCCCCCUGUCUCAUCACCUGUGGAUCCCACAGACCUUCCCCUCCUCAACUGUUGCUUUAUCCCAGGCCCCAACUCCAGCAGGCACUCACUCACUAGCUCAAAGACCACUCCUUCCAUGGAAGCAGGUGGACUGUCUGCAGAUCUUCCCUUCUCCUUCUGUUCCUCUAGAUCCAACCUUCCAACCUCAUCUUCAUUGUUAUAGCAGGUCUUCUGGGCUGAUCUCUCUUCACUGUCUCCCUUCAUUCCAAUGAGACAAAAUAAGUAUAUAUGGUGGAACACUCUGCUUUCCUCCCUCCUAUGAACCCCUUCAAACCCCUAGCCUAUCCCCAUUCCUAAAUGUCAGCUCGCAAUAUCCAGAAGCACAUUUUAUCUGGAACCUUCAGUGGCCACAACUCUCAAGUCCAAAGAGGAUUUCCUACCAGACAACCCAUGGCCAUCACACUCUCUGAAAAUCCAGAGAGAAAACAAAAACCAAAGAACAAAACACCCAUCUAACAAAGACAAAUCCAGGAAUCAGCACCAAAACCUAUAAUCAUCCUAAUACCAGAUGCCUAGAUAUUAGCAUAAAAACAAAAUCAAUAACAACCAGGGCAAUAUGUCUGCACCAAAGCCCAGCUAUCCUACCACAGCAGGUCCUGAAUAUUCCAACAUAGCUGAAAUACAAGAAAAAGACCUUAAAACCAGCUAUA